ACGGAGGGUGCAAGCGUUAAUCGGAAUAACUGGGCGUAAAGCGCACGCAGGCGGUUAGAUAAGUCAGAUGUGAAAUCCCCGGGCUCAACCUGGGAACUGCAUUUGAAACUGUCUGACUAGAGUCUUGUAGAGGGGGGUAGAAUUCCAGGUGUAGCGGUGAAAUGCGUAGAAAUCUGGAGGAAUACCGGUGGCGAAGGCGGCCCGCUGGACAAAGUCUGGCUCUCAGGUGCGAAAGCGUGUUGAGCAAAAAG
This 251-nucleotide ribosomal RNA is filed under the name uncultured prokaryote. RNAcentral describes it as "partial 16S rRNA". It matches the Rfam family "Bacterial small subunit ribosomal RNA", at positions 525 to 775 of the family's 1533-position model. The record is from RNAcentral.